Molecule: ribosomal RNA, 253 nt
Filed under: uncultured bacterium
Lineage: Bacteria
Description: partial 16S ribosomal RNA
Rfam family: Bacterial small subunit ribosomal RNA
Source: RNAcentral
UACAGAGGUCCCAAGCGUUGUUCGGAUUCACUGGGCGUAAAGGGUGCGUAGGUGGCUGGGUAAGUUUGAUGUGAAAUCUCCGGGCUUAACCCGGAAAUGGCAUUGAAUACUAUUCGGCUAGAGGUUUGGAGGGGGGACUGGAAUUCUCGGUGUAGCAGUGAAAUGCGUAGAUAUCGAGAGGAACACCAGUGGCGAAGGCGAGUCCCUGGACAACUCCUGACACUGAGGCACGAAAGCUAGGGGAGCAAACAGG